AGGAACAGGCAGGGCUUCUAUAAAGCCAGGGAACUGCUAACAAAAAGGGACUGCUGAAUUUACAGUCAUUCCCUGGAGGAACGAGUUGAAAAGCUGGUGACCACAGAGAGGGGAGGAGAGCUAGAAGGUAGAAGCUAAACAUGCUGUUGGUGAAUUUGAUGUUGAUGAUGCUAGAGACUGGCAGAUGCCAAGAUCUGUAUGGCUCUACCACGCCAUCUCAUUCCCAAGCAGGAACAUCCUGUACUCCCCAAUCUGAUCAUCUAAGCAGACAGUGCCAGUUAGAUGAUGAUACUGAAGAAACCCCUCCUAUGACUUAAAUCUGGGUAUUUAUCUUGGUUCAAACAGGGCUGGUAACAAGUGCACCUGAUCCACGUUCAAAUUUCUCCACAGUUCAGCUGAGCUGGGUUUUUGGUAUAGUCAGUUCCAGCAAGAAGGUCCAGCCUCCAUGGGCCAUUCUAGGAGUUCUGGAGAAACUCCUACAAGCUGCCGAGUGCCAGUAAAUCUCAUUAACCUCGCUGGUAGUUAAUCAACACAUUGCAGGAUCAGGCAUGAAAUUGGGGGUGGGAGGUGGAGGCUGGAUUCUUAUCAACUCGUGUGACUGAAUUACAAGCCUUGUGAUUUGUUCCAUUUUUCUGGAAAUCCCAGACUUCCUGGAGACAGUUUAUUAUCUGAAUCUCAAUUUUCCUUUUUUACAGUAAGUUUCUAGCCUGUAUGGUGGCAGAAGAGAGCCUGGAACAAGAAACAAGUGUAGCCAGAAGGCAACUCAAAACCCCCACAAAUAUUAAACUCGUGGUUUUUGUUUUUUCAGGCAGCCUCCUGAUUUUUUGAGUGGCCCAGCUUGUGGAUUUUUGAUCACUGGGGCUUGGCAAUAAGGAGUAUCAUGGAAACCCAUUCUCUAACCUCCCAUUCCUCUCAUGCUGCACCAAGUACCUUUCAGUCUUAAUCUCCAGCGUUCUGUUUAGCCUUCCUUGCAUCUGAAUCUCAAGCAGCUCUUUAAAAAAGAGACACAUUUCAUACGUCCUGAUUAAAAAGACCCUGUCUAAAAAUACAAAAUCCCAGCCAAGGAAAGCUUUUUUUUUAUAUCUACACAGAGGGAAAAUGAGCUGCAGUGGAAUUAUUUAUACUUUAUCCUACCUCCAGAGAAGACUUUAGAACGUGAGAUAAGGCAGCAUGCUUCAGAGUCCAGAGCCCCCUCUCCUCUGUGCUUGUACCAGCUCCCUAUCCUGUCAUGCUGGCAAGAAGAAAUAUGCAGUCAUCCUUGCUGCAUAUUCUGGCAGGGUUAUUGUCAACUUAUUAUUUUUUGACACUAAGCCAAAAAUGAAGGGCAUUUGCAUCUUGCAAUUUUGCUAUUUGCUUGUCUCACUUCUGUUGCGCUAAAUGACCUACAAGGAGUCAGUAGCAGGCAGGAGAAUAUAGGAACCAGAGAGAGAGUGAAGCAGGAAAGCUCAUAUUUUACCCCCAAAAUGCCACUGCUCUUUUUGGGGUAGGGAGGGGAAGAAACCAUUAAAAUAACACAUGCCUGUUUCAUUUGUAGAUUUCUCCUGACGGUGGAAGGACUUGUGUCAUGGGGAAAUCGCCACCACUGCUUUGGGUUUUGCUAAAAACCAUUACAUAAUUAAAGUCACUAUUGUGGGUGAAAGUGUGAAGUCUGCUUUUGGACCAAUGCUGGCCAGGGUCUGAUUUAUAAUGGUGCAUUGAUAGCCAUCUGGAUAUAUGGUUUUUACCUUAUUUCAUAUCUCAGCAACAACAUAUUAUGCAUCAUAAAGGCUGAGUGUUUUCUUUUCAUUACAAGUCAGCAGCACUUACAUGGAUGUAAUAAUGAGGCUGUACAAUUAUAAGUGAUUAGAAAUGGCAUAGAAUGAUCCUUUAUAUAUUAUUACAAUACUGGAAUCCUAGUGAAAUACCAAACAACCCCACCAAAAGCAAUAGCUACUUUAAAACAUUUUGGGUAUAAUUGUUCCAUACAUUUUAAACAACUCAGAACAUAUGGUGACUUCAAGGUGUCAGUUCCAGCAUUAAAUGAAAGACUCUAUGGUGCAAUAUGCAGUCAUGGGUGCAAUAUUUGGUGCAUUACACUCCCAUGAGGAUGCAUUUACCCUGCUUAUGAAAUGGUUAAUUUUAAAAGGUUGGAAGAGUCAUAAUGCAGCCAUCAGCCUGAAGCCAAAUGUACAUAGAAUGCAGCCAGCAACUCAGAGCAUUGAAGCGCAAGCUGCUGAAAUCAAAUAAAUCUGAUAUUGUUAACUAUAUUACGAGAUUCUCAACACCCACCUGGAGUUCAUUUACAUGUGUGUAUUACAUAGCUGCAUGCCAGUAUAAUCCUAUUUGUGCCAAUUGUGAUGCUA
Long non-coding RNA from Mauremys reevesii (Reeves's turtle), 2342 nucleotides. RefSeq lists it as uncharacterized. The record is from RefSeq and is a predicted model, not a curated record. Lineage: Eukaryota; Metazoa; Chordata; Testudines; Geoemydidae. The transcript is spliced from 2 exons.